RNAcentral lists this long non-coding RNA (756 nucleotides) under Brassica napus (rape). Its description in RNAcentral is "long non-coding RNA (BNAP_LNC013977)". Lineage: Eukaryota; Viridiplantae; Streptophyta; Magnoliopsida; Brassicales; Brassicaceae. The record is from RNAcentral.
CGACCGAGAGGCUUAGCGACCGACCGGGAAGGUGUCCAUCCAUAUCUAGACAUCUGACAUGUCUAUGCAAUUAUGCACUCAAAAGGCUCAAAAAGACCCCAAAAUCACCACUUUCCUCCAAUACGUACCUAAACCUGAAAAAAAUACUAAAAAGACUCCAAAGCAACUAUAAUGUAUUUAAAAACACCUAUAUACCAUGGCUAAAAGUGGAUAAAAUCCAUGGUAUAUCAGCACGCGACAACAUGGUCUAUUACCUGAAUUAAUUCCUAUUGAGUUAGAAUUACUAGAAACAAGCGACAAUUGAUUUUGUUAACUUAGUGAACAUAUCAAACCUAUACAUAAAGCUUGCUAGAAGAAACAUCGAUCGACGCAACGACAAUUGAAUCGAUCGACGUUUUAAAAGGUGUAUCGAUCAAUAUUCAUAUAGAAUCAUUGAUCGACACUUUCUCAUGAUCAACAAACGAAAGUUGAGAUCUAAGAUCUAGACAUUAGAUAAUCUAAACAAACGGAAGUUGAUAGAUUAUUACUUAAGUUUGAGUUCUAGGAUCAAUCCUUAGCAUCUAUAUCAUUAUAAUCCCGAUAACCUAGAACCCUAAGUCUAGCAACCAUCCUUUCAUAACAAACAAACUCUUGAUUUAUAAUCAACUGAACAAUUGUCUUUUUCACCACUGCUUUACUUUAUUUACUAUUACUAUAAUUACCUAGCUUAAUCAUAAACUGUUUAGAUCUAUUGUGUGCCCUAGCUCCCUGUGGAUU